Long non-coding RNA from Trichosurus vulpecula (common brushtail), 152 nucleotides. RefSeq lists it as uncharacterized. The transcript has 3 exons. NCBI's taxonomy places the organism in Eukaryota, Metazoa, Chordata, Mammalia, Diprotodontia, Phalangeridae. The record is from RefSeq and is a predicted model, not a curated record.
GUUUUCUCUGGAGCUGGAGACGGCCAGACGGAGAUACGUAUAGAUGGUGAACAGAGGCAUCUUUCUGGUGAGGAAAUGGAGACCAAGAAACGUUAAAUGACUGUCCAGAGUAGCAUGUUGGUGUGGGAGCAGCAGCAAGCAAGCGUGACUCU